Molecule: ribosomal RNA, 88 nt
Filed under: Neodevriesia capensis
Lineage: Eukaryota; Fungi; Ascomycota; Dothideomycetes; Mycosphaerellales; Neodevriesiaceae
Description: partial 18S ribosomal RNA
Rfam family: Eukaryotic small subunit ribosomal RNA
Source: RNAcentral
GGGCCGGAAAGUUGGUCAAACUCGGUCAUUUAGAGGAAGUAAAAGUCGUAACAAGGUCUCCGUAGGUGAACCUGCGGAGGGAUCAUUA